UAUAUAUGUCCCCCAAACACUAUUACAACUUUCAGUUUAGCAGUUCAAAAUCUAUUCCUUUUCGUCGGAGCCCUUCUGAAUGUUCGUUUGUGCUCAAAUUUGACAAUCAGGCUCGAUUUAAGUUAAUAAGAAGAAAGAUAUCUUAACUUUUCAGUUUGGACCAUUUUGGUCACCGAAAGCUCUACCGACUAAAAUCUCUAGCAGAUAGCAGUCAGAUUUUAUUUUUCACUUUUCGGGUGUCAGAAUGACGUGAAACUUUAAAUCUAGCCUCAUAAAAAUAAUUCCGACAUAUUCCCAAGUUUUCAUAAUUUUCUGACACUUUGAAUUUUCUGCUAAAAUAUCAGCCCCGUUUCUUACAGAAAAUUUUAAAUUUUCUGUUUCCGUUCCGAUUUCAGCACAAGUCAUUUCCGACUUAUAUUUUACUUCUCUAAGUCCAAUAAAAAUAGUAUCUUAUACUAUUUUUAUUUAUACUUACUUUUAUAUUAAAAAUUCGGUAUAUUACAUUCAUAUUCCCUAUCUCCCAUGAGAAACAUUUUCUCUACAUCCUCUGUAAUGAUAUCUAAGUAUCUUUUAGGAGGAUGGGAGAUUCUAUUCGACCUACGAGGUGGAGGAUAUUCUACAUGUACUGGCUCAGCUUGAAUAGGUUCUGUAGGUUUGAUGACUCGUUGCUCUUCAGAGACUCUCUCUUCGAGCUCAAUUUUCUUCCCACUAGCUCCUUGAAUAAACUGUUUUUCCAAGAAAGUAGCAUAUCGGCUCACAACUAUAUUGUGAUCCUCUGGGAUA
RNAcentral lists this long non-coding RNA (783 nucleotides) under Ananas comosus (pineapple). RNAcentral describes it as "long non-coding RNA (ACOM_LNC026779)". Lineage: Eukaryota; Viridiplantae; Streptophyta; Magnoliopsida; Poales; Bromeliaceae. The record is from RNAcentral.